UAUCUCUCCGUACGGGGAAGGAUGAGAAGCUUCGACUAAGGUUCGAUUCGAGCGAAAGCGGGAAAGCGUUGCCGCAGGCAACGACCCGAAGGGCGAAGCGCGCAGCGCUGAGUCAUCCUUCCCCCACCACCA
Molecule: small RNA, 132 nt
Filed under: Salmonella enterica
Lineage: Bacteria; Pseudomonadati; Pseudomonadota; Gammaproteobacteria; Enterobacterales; Enterobacteriaceae
Also listed under: 2 other names
Description: RtT sRNA
Rfam family: RtT RNA
About the family: This family represents a bacterial cis-regulatory element known as RtT RNA. The exact function of RtT is unknown although it is thought that it may be involved in changing the cellular response in relation to amino acid starvation.
Source: RNAcentral